RNAcentral lists this transfer RNA (87 nucleotides) under Candidatus Uhrbacteria bacterium. RNAcentral describes it as "tRNA-Leu". It matches the Rfam family "tRNA". From Rfam's summary of the family: Transfer RNA (tRNA) molecules are approximately 80 nucleotides in length. Their secondary structure includes four short double-helical elements and three loops (D, anti-codon, and T loops). The record is from RNAcentral. Lineage: Bacteria; Candidatus Uhriibacteriota.
GCCGAGAUGGUGGAACUGGUAGACACACCAGCCUUAGGAGCUGGCCCUCGAAAGAGGAUGAGAGUUCGAGUCUCUCUCUCGGCACCA